GAAUUGUAGCCAGUCAUCGUGAAUGUGACAAUUACAACCUGACCAGUCAGGCAGAGGACGACGACGAUGAUGAGGUGCCAUUUAAAUUGACGAGGAACCGCACUAAAAAAGGAACUCCAGAGGGCUUUGUAAGAAAUGAAUUGACAGAUUCAGAUGAAGAGAACAUCAGGGGUGUCAAGCUGCCCAAAUACCCCACUGCACCAAAAAAGCUGUGGUCCAUUCAAGCCUCUGAAGAUGAAGCCAGGUCUGUGGAGCGUGCGGACAGUUCUCAGGGCAGUGAAAUGUCCACUCCUUGCCCUCAAACUGCAAGCACAGCACCUCGGUGUGGAGAUCUGU
Long non-coding RNA from Polypterus senegalus (gray bichir), 336 nucleotides. RefSeq lists it as uncharacterized. The transcript has 5 exons. The record is from RefSeq and is a predicted model, not a curated record. Lineage: Eukaryota; Metazoa; Chordata; Cladistia; Polypteriformes; Polypteridae.